GAUACUGUGUUGUCCGGUUUGGUGUCAAUUACUGGUUUACAUGUUAGGUAUAGUUGAAUGAUUGAGACCAAGGAAAAGGGCAAAAAAGUUAUGUGAAUUGAUAAAUGGAUAGUGUGGACAGCCUGACUAGAUAUCCUGAGAGAUGGUGGACAGACCGGGUCCGUAGGGAACCCUAUUGGGAAUGUGGUCUCUCAUACCGGACGGGGUAUGGAGACCUUAUGUGUUUUGGCACCCAUACCGGACGAGGUAUUGAGGAUUAUGGUUUUGGCGC
RNAcentral lists this long non-coding RNA (271 nucleotides) under Carica papaya (papaya). RNAcentral's name for it is "long non-coding RNA (CPAP_LNC003191)". Lineage: Eukaryota; Viridiplantae; Streptophyta; Magnoliopsida; Brassicales; Caricaceae. The record is from RNAcentral.